This 253-nucleotide ribosomal RNA is filed under the name uncultured prokaryote. Its description in RNAcentral is "partial 16S ribosomal RNA". It matches the Rfam family "Bacterial small subunit ribosomal RNA", at positions 524 to 776 of the family's 1533-position model. The record is from RNAcentral.
UACAGAGGCCUCGAGCGUUAGGCGGAAUUACUGGGCGUAAAGCGCGCGCAGGUGGUCUUUCAAGUCAGUGGCGAAAGCCUGGAGCUCAACUCCAGAACUGCCAUUGAAACUGCAAGACUUGAGUACGAGAGAGGUGAGUGGAAUUCCCAGUGUAGAGGUGAAAUUCGUAGAUAUUGGGAAGAACACCGGUGGCGAAGGCGGCUCACUGGCUCGUAACUGACGCUCAGGCGCGACAGCGUGGGGAUCAAACAGG